AAGGAUUUAAGUUAAACUAAACUAGUAGUCUUCAAAGCUGCCAAUAGGGGCUCUCUAAGCCUUA
Molecule: transfer RNA, 64 nt
Filed under: Cucujoidea sp. 38 KM-2017
Lineage: Eukaryota; Metazoa; Arthropoda; Insecta; Coleoptera
Description: tRNA-Trp
Source: RNAcentral